GACAGAGGGUGCAAACGUUGCUCGGAAUCACUGGGCGUAAAGGGCGUGUAGGCGGGAAUGUAAGUCGGGCGUGAAAUCCCUAGGCUCAACCUAGGAACUGCACUCGAAACUGCGUUUCUUGAGUACUGGAGAGGAAAGCGGAAUACCUGGUGUAGAGGUGAAAUUCGUAGAUAUCAGGUGGAACACCAGCGGCGAAGGCGGCUUUCUGGACAGUAACUGACG
RNAcentral lists this ribosomal RNA (222 nucleotides) under uncultured bacterium. Its description in RNAcentral is "partial 16S ribosomal RNA". It matches the Rfam family "Bacterial small subunit ribosomal RNA", at positions 524 to 745 of the family's 1533-position model. The record is from RNAcentral.